RNAcentral lists this long non-coding RNA (315 nucleotides) under Gossypium barbadense (sea-island cotton). Its description in RNAcentral is "long non-coding RNA (GBAR_LNC005291)". Lineage: Eukaryota; Viridiplantae; Streptophyta; Magnoliopsida; Malvales; Malvaceae. The record is from RNAcentral.
AAAAUCACCUUUUUGGUAAAAUGACCAUUUUGCCUCUAGACUUUCAUAAAAUUACAAUUUUACCUUUAGGCCCAGAAAUCGAUUUGUAUCGAAUUUCCUUAUUAGUCAAGCCUAACCGACCAAUUAUUACUCUUAUGAAAACCCUAAGUUUCCACUAUUUCACACAAUUACAACCUACUUUAUAACUUUUACAAAAUAGCCCUUUUAGGUGUUUUCCAUGAAAAUCCUUUCACGAAAGUUGUUUAUUACACAACCAAGACUCAUUUUCUUCCAUAAAAAUUUAGCAACGACAUAAAUCCUUUCAUCAAAAAUCCC